GGAGAGGUGCUAGAGUGGUUGAAUAGGGCGGUCUCGAAAACCGUUGUGCGUUAUGCGUACCGGGGGUUCGAAUCCCUCCCUCUCCGCCA
Molecule: transfer RNA, 89 nt
Filed under: Alphaproteobacteria bacterium
Lineage: Bacteria; Pseudomonadati; Pseudomonadota; Alphaproteobacteria
Description: tRNA-Ser
Rfam family: tRNA
About the family: Transfer RNA (tRNA) molecules are approximately 80 nucleotides in length. Their secondary structure includes four short double-helical elements and three loops (D, anti-codon, and T loops). Further hydrogen bonds mediate the characteristic L-shaped molecular structure. tRNAs have two regions of fundamental functional importance: the anti-codon, which is responsible for specific mRNA codon recognition, and the 3' end, to which the tRNAs corresponding amino acid is attached (by aminoacyl-tRNA synthetases). tRNAs cope with the degeneracy of the genetic code in two manners: having more than one tRNA (with a specific anti-codon) for a particular amino acid; and 'wobble' base-pairing, i.e. permitting non-standard base-pairing at the 3rd anti-codon position.
Source: RNAcentral